AUCACUUCUCGGCCUUUUGGCUAAGAUCAAGUGUAGUAUCUGUUCUUAUCAGUUUAAUAUCUGAUACGUCCUCUAUCCGAGGACAAUAUAUUAAAUGGAUUUUUGGAAAAAAAAAAAAAAAACCAAAGUCCGAGUUGAGCAUAGUGGUUCACAUCUG
RNAcentral lists this small nuclear RNA (157 nucleotides) under Rhinopithecus roxellana (golden snub-nosed monkey). Its description in RNAcentral is "U2 spliceosomal RNA (ENSRROG00000014322.1)". The stretch from base 1 to 127 matches the Rfam family "U2 spliceosomal RNA". From Rfam's summary of the family: U2 is a small nuclear RNA (snRNA) component of the spliceosome (involved in pre-mRNA splicing). The record is from RNAcentral. Lineage: Eukaryota; Metazoa; Chordata; Mammalia; Primates; Cercopithecidae.